Molecule: small RNA, 129 nt
Filed under: Marmota monax (woodchuck)
Lineage: Eukaryota; Metazoa; Chordata; Mammalia; Rodentia; Sciuridae
Source: RNAcentral
UGGAACAAAAGAGUCUUGACAUUUGUUGUACUGUUAUUUGAAUGGAAAAUGUCAGUAUGAAUACAUGAAACAUUUUAUCUUUAAGAAACAAGUGUGUGUGUGUGUGUGUGUGUGUGUGUGUGUAUCCAG